ACUGACCCAGGUAAGGGAUGUAACUCAUGGACAUCAAACUGACCCAGGUAAGGGAUGUAACUCAUGGACAUCAAACUGACCAAGGUAAGGGACAAAACUCAUGGACAUCAAACUGACCCAGGUAAGGAAGUCACUUAGGAACAUCUUCAGAUUAUUACAGCAAUUUUAAUUACCAUUUACUAUAGACUUUAAACACACAUUCAAACCUUUUUAUUACCAUUACCAGACAGCGGUAGGCUCAUUUCCAUAUGUAUACAUGUUAGGUAUCCGACUCAAUGAGUGGCCAGACAGUGGUGGGCUCAUUUCCAUAUGUAUACAUGUUAGGUAUCCGACUCAAUGAGUGGCCACACAGUGGUGGGCUCAUUGCCAUAUGUAAAGAUGUUAGGUAUCCGACUCAAUGAGUGGCCAGACAGUGGUGAACUCAUUUCCAUAUGUUUACAUGUUAGGUUUCCGACUCGAUGAGUGGCCAGACAGUGGUGGGCUCAUUUCCAUAUGUAUACAUGUUAGGUAUCUGACUCAAUGAGUGGCCAGACAUUGGGGGGCUCAUUUCCAUAUGUUCACAUGUUAGGUAUCCGACUCUAUGAGUGGCCAGACAGUGGUGGGCUCAUUUCCAUAUGUAUACAUGUUAGGUAUCCGACUCAAUGAGUGGCCAGACAGUGGUGGGCUCAUUUUCAUAUGUAUACAUGUUAGGUAUCCGACUCUAUGAGUGGCCAGACAGUGGUGGGCUCAUUUCCAUAUGUAUACAUGUUAGGUAUCCGACUCUAUGAGUGGCCAGACAGUGGUGGGCUCAUGUCCAUAUGUUUACAUGUUAAGUAUCUGACUCAAUGAGUGGCCAGACAGUGGUGGGCUCAUUUCCAUAUGUUCACAUGUUAGGUAUCCGACUCAAUGAGUGGCCAGACAGUGGUGGGCUCAUUUCCAUAUGUUUACAUGUUAGGUAUCCAACUCAAUGAGUGGCCAGACAGUGGUGGGCUCAUUUCCAUAUGUUUACAUGUUAGGUAUCCGACUCAAUGAGUGGCCAGACAGUGGUGGGCUCAUUUAAAUAUGUUUACAUGUUAGGUAUCCGACUCAAUGAGUGGCCAGACAUUGAUGGGCUCAUUUCCAUAUGUUUACAUGUUAGGUAUCCAACUCAGUGAGUGGUCAGACAGUGGUGGGCUCAUUUCCAUAUGUUUACAUGUAAGGUAUCCGACUCAAUGAGUGGCCAGACAGUGGUGGGAUCAUUUCCAUAUGUUUACAUGUUUGGUAUCCGACUCAAUGAGUGGCCAGACAGUGGUGGGCUCAUUUCCAUAUGUAUACAUGUUAGGUAUCCGACUAAAUGAGUGGCCAGACAGUGGUGGGCUCAUUUCCAUAUGUUUACAUGUUAGGUAUCUGACUCAAUGAGUGGCCAGACAGUGGUGGGCUCAUUUCCAUGUUUACAUGUUAGGUAUCUGACUCAAUGAGUGGCCAGACAGUGGUGGGCUCAUUUCCAUAUGUUUACAUGUUAGGUAUCCGACUCAAUGAGUGGCCAGACAGUGGUGGGCUCAUUUCCAUAUGUUUACAUGUUAGGUAUCCGACUCAAUGAGUGGCCAGACAGUGGUGGGCUCAUUUCCAUAUGUUUACAUGUUAGGUAUCCGACUCAAUGAGUGGCCAGACAGUGGUGGGCUCAUUUCCAUAUGUUUACAUGUUAGGUAUCCGACCCAUUGAGUGGCCAGACAGUGGUGGGCUCAUUUCCAUAUGUUUACAUGUUAGGUAUCCGACUCAAUGAGUGGCCAGA
Molecule: long non-coding RNA, 1750 nt
Organism: Dreissena polymorpha
Lineage: Eukaryota; Metazoa; Mollusca; Bivalvia; Myida; Dreissenidae
Exons: 3
Source: RefSeq, a predicted model, not a curated record